Molecule: ribosomal RNA, 253 nt
Filed under: uncultured bacterium
Lineage: Bacteria
Description: partial 16S ribosomal RNA
Rfam family: Bacterial small subunit ribosomal RNA
Source: RNAcentral
UACGGAGGGGGCUAGCGUUGUUCGGAAUUACUGGGCGUAAAGCGCACGUAGGCGGCUUUGUAAGUUAGAGGUGAAAGCCCGGAGCUCAACUCCGGAACUGCCUUUAAGACUGCAUCGCUUGAACGUCGGAGAGGUAAGUGGAAUUCCGAGUGUAGAGGUGAAAUUCGUAGAUAUUCGGAAGAACACCAGCGGCGAAGGCGACUUACUGGACGACUGUUGACGCUGAGGUGCGAAAGCGUGGGGAGCAAACAGG